This 253-nucleotide ribosomal RNA is filed under the name uncultured bacterium. RNAcentral's name for it is "partial 16S ribosomal RNA". It matches the Rfam family "Bacterial small subunit ribosomal RNA", at positions 524 to 776 of the family's 1533-position model. The record is from RNAcentral.
UACGUAGGGGGCUAGCGUUGUCCGGAUUUAUUGGGCGUAAAGAGCGUGUAGGCGGCCAUGUAGGUCCGGUGUGAAAACUCGAGGCUUAACCUCGAGAUGUCAUCGGAAACCAUUUGGCUAGAGUCCGGAAGAGGAGAGUGGAAUUCCUGGUGUAGCGGUGAAAUGCGCAGAUAUCAGGAAGAACACCAAUGGCGAAGGCAGCUCUCUGGGACGGUACUGACGCUGAGACGCGAAAGCGUGGGGAGCGAACAGG